This 22-nucleotide ribosomal RNA is filed under the name Linnemannia elongata. Its description in RNAcentral is "Mortierella elongata partial 28S ribosomal RNA". The record is from RNAcentral. Lineage: Eukaryota; Fungi; Mortierellomycota; Mortierellomycetes; Mortierellales; Mortierellaceae.
CGAUCUCAAAUCAAGUAAAACU